CAGGCUUGUUGCUGGGUAACGGGGCGGCGAGUUUCCCCUGGCAACGGCGGCGGGUACCGCUCACUGGCUGGCCGGGAAGGAGGGGGGGCGCGGGCGCAGGCAGGCCCCGCAGACCCCAGCAACAGCGCGCGGCCCCCGCCCCGCCGGGAAGCGGCUGCGAAAUCUGCUUGCCCAGAAUGGCAGACAAGAUCUUGGAGACGAGACGGUUUUAGGUCUGCAGUCAACCAGCUCUAUUUUGUCUCACCAGCACUUCACAUCCGGCUUACUACCUCCGGGCACUAUUCUAAGUAUGUUACAAAUACGAACUCAUUUUAUCUUCACAAUAUUUUUGGUCCUGCCUGUGCAGAUCCCUUUUGGACAGUGAGGGAAACUGAGGCACAGAGCGGAGAAGCUGCUUGCUCAAGGUCAUCAUUUGAACCCAUGUCGGAGUUAUCGUUCCUCUGUGCUGUGCGCCCGUGGGAGAGGCAUUAACACUCAAAAUACGAAACUGCACAGAGUCAAGAAAACGCACUCGUGGACGGCCUGCGGACCACUAGUUUGAGACCCCAGCCUCAACAUGAGCAUCUGUGCAAAUAGACACGAACUGUCCUCCUCCCAGAAGUAGACCUGGGCAUCCUGACCCCAUGAACACAGGGACUUGCUGUCUCUCCCCAAACUGGAUUCAGGCAUCAUGGCUUUUGAACACAGGGCUGAUGAUCCUUCCCAGAAGAGAAUGCAGGCAUCUUGGCCCCAUAAAAAUAGGGGUCCUGGGCCGGGCUCAGUAGCUCACGGCCUGUAAUCCCAGAACUUUGGGAGGCCUAGGCCGGUGGAUCACCUGGGGUCAGGAGUUCAAGACCAGCCUGGCCAACAUGGCUAAACCCUGUCUCUAUUAAAAAUACAAAAAUUAGCCGGGCGUGGUGGUGCACACCUGUAGUCCCAGCUACUCAGGAGGCUGAGGGAGGAGAAUCGCUUGAACCUGGGAGGCAUAGGUUGCAGUGAGCCAAGAUCGCA
This 990-nucleotide long non-coding RNA is filed under the name Homo sapiens (human). RNAcentral's name for it is "HSALNT0398339". Lineage: Eukaryota; Metazoa; Chordata; Mammalia; Primates; Hominidae. The record is from RNAcentral.